GUUCUGUAAGCCUGUGAAGGUGUGCUGUGAGGCAUGCUGGAGGUAUCAGAAGUGCGAAUGCUGACAUAAGUAACGAUAAAGCGGGUGAAAAGCCCGCUCGCCGGAAGACCAAGGGUUCCUGUCCAACGUUAAUCGGGGCAGGGUGAGUCGACCCCUAAGGCGAGGCCGAAAGGCGUAGUCGAUGGGAAACAGGUUAAUAUUCCUGUACUUGGUGUUACUGCGAAGGGGGGACGGAGAAGGCUAUGUUGGCCGGGCGACGGUUGUCCCGGUUUAAGCGUGUAGGCU
This 285-nucleotide ribosomal RNA is filed under the name Escherichia albertii. RNAcentral describes it as "partial 23S ribosomal RNA". It matches the Rfam family "Bacterial large subunit ribosomal RNA", at positions 1238 to 1526 of the family's 2925-position model. Lineage: Bacteria; Pseudomonadati; Pseudomonadota; Gammaproteobacteria; Enterobacterales; Enterobacteriaceae. The record is from RNAcentral.